Molecule: ribosomal RNA, 824 nt
Filed under: Streptomyces sp.
Lineage: Bacteria; Bacillati; Actinomycetota; Actinomycetes; Kitasatosporales; Streptomycetaceae
Description: bacterial SSU rRNA
Rfam family: Bacterial small subunit ribosomal RNA
Source: RNAcentral
CCAUGCAAGUCGAACGAUGAACCACUUCGGUGGGGAUUAGUGGCGAACGGGUGAGUAACACGUGGGCAAUCUGCCCUUCACUCUGGGACAAGCCCUGGAAACGGGGUCUAAUACCGGAUACCACUACCACGGGCAUCUGUGGUGGUUGAAAGCUCCGGCGGUGAAGGAUGAGCCCGCGGCCUAUCAGCUUGUUGGUGAGGUAAUGGCUCACCAAGGCGACGACGGGUAGCCGGCCUGAGAGGGCGACCGGCCACACUGGGACUGAGACACGGCCCAGACUCCUACGGGAGGCAGCAGUGGGGAAUAUUGCACAAUGGGCGAAAGCCUGAUGCAGCGACGCCGCGUGAGGGAUGACGGCCUUCGGGUUGUAAACCUCUUUCAGCAGGGAAGAAGCGAAAGUGACGGUACCUGCAGAAGAAGCGCCGGCUAACUACGUGCCAGCAGCCGCGGUAAUACGUAGGGCGCAAGCGUUGUCCGGAAUUAUUGGGCGUAAAGAGCUCGUAGGCGGCUUGUCACGUCGGGUGUGAAAGCCCGGGGCUUAACCCCGGGUCUGCAUUCGAUACGGGCUAGCUAGAGUGUGGUAGGGGAGAUCGGAAUUCCUGGUGUAGCGGUGAAAUGCGCAGAUAUCAGGAGGAACACCGGUGGCGAAGGCGGAUCUCUGGGCCAUUACUGACGCUGAGGAGCGAAAGCGUGGGGAGCGAACAGGAUUAGAUACCCUGGUAGUCCACGCCGUAAACGGUGGGAACUAGGUGUUGGCGACAUUCCACGUCGUCGGUGCCGCAGCUAACGCAUUAAGUUCCCCGCCUGGGGAGUACGGCCGCAAG